This 2189-nucleotide long non-coding RNA is filed under the name Homo sapiens (human). RNAcentral describes it as "HSALNT0079511". Lineage: Eukaryota; Metazoa; Chordata; Mammalia; Primates; Hominidae. The record is from RNAcentral.
CUUUGAGAUGAGUUUUUAAAUUUAGUGGAGUGCCUCAUCUGAGACCUUCAGGCAAGAGUGGAGCACAGAGGAAAGGGGUGUCUUUCUCAAGAGAGAAGCAAACUGCGGGUCAAAGUGCACCACCAGCCACCAACAGCUAGCUUCCGGAUCAAGUAGGAUGGAAAUGGUUUAUUCCUCCAAAGACUCUUAAAAGAGCAGCCCCUGCUGCAGAAUAGAAAGAGGCUCCAGAGGAGCAGUGAGCUCGAGGAACCCCCCUGAAGAUCCCCAGUUUCUGUAUGCAGCUGCAUCAGGCCCAGACAAAUUCUUCCAUCUGGAGCGUGUCCCCGCAGAUCUUCCCAGCCGCGGCUGUGGUCCGCGUUAUCUCAGGCUGUCAGGUCUCAGAAAUUAGAAACCAUCUCAUUUCAUCAGGGUCAUCCCACACCGUCUGCCACCAUAGAUGGAGAGGAUUUCAAGUGAUGUUUUCUGAAGAUGGUUCUGUUGUCCCGGGAGAGCCCUUGGCGGACAUGGUAGUGCCAGUCAGAGCCCUUGACGCUGUGCAGCCAGGUGGCUUAUUGUCCCAGUGACUUUCCAACCAGAUACUCUCAGUCAGAGUGAAGGGCUCCACUUAGAAACUCCCUUUCCCAUUAACUCGUCAGAGUUAUGCCAUUCCUCUUUAUUCUUUUUAAAAUAUUUAUACUCAAAGAAAUUGUAUGGGGAGUGAGCACACACCAAUCAUAUAACUGUCAAAUGAAAGCCUUUCCUUAAAUGUUCAAGGGCGCCGGAGGAAUAAAUUUGGAGUCAUGCAGAUCUUGUUUCACGAGUGUGUACAUGUGUAUGAAACUUUAUGUGGGUGGAAAACCAACAAGAGAAAAAAGAGAGCAGAAACUGUUGUGUGAUUGCGUUUUCCUGCCCGAGACAUCCUGUGCUCUGCAUCUGAUAACCUGCCACCAGGCUCCACCACAUUGCCCAGGCUGGUCUCAAAGUCCUAGGCUCAUGCGAUCCUCCCACCUCAACCUCCCAAAGUGCUGGAACUACAGGUGUCAGCCACAGCCCCCUGUGAGGAUGCUUAAUCACUCGAGGACGGUAUAAAGGUACAGAAGAACAGCGAGCCACAGGUGGGCCUCAUCCCAUCAGCUGAAGGCCUUACAGGAACAAAGAUUGACCUCCCAGUAUAAGAAGUAAUCUGCCAGCAGGCUGCCUUUGGACUCCAACUGCAACUCUUCCCUGGGUUUCCAGCCUGCCAGCCUACCCUGCAGACUUUGGACUUGCACCUCCACAACCAUACGUUUCCAAAAUCUGGAGAGCGGCUGUGAGUUUGCAGUGCAGUAUGGGGAGAGACCAGAACCCACCGGAAGCCUCCAGGUGCUGCAGUGAGGAGGAGCUGGAACCCUUCUCCUCCAGGUGCCAGCUCGCGCUGCUGUGGUUCUCAUCUGUAGAGGACGUGGACCAUCCAGGGAAUCACCUGCAGCUGACAGAGGAAACUCUGAAGCCCACCAGGCCUGUACAGACUGGGGAAACACCAGUGCCUGAGGAUAGUGGCUAAACUGCCAGAGAACAUGGGGCUGAGGUGGAGCCUGGAUGACUCUUCUGCCUCUGAGCAAAGCUGCUUGCCCUACACACAACAGUAUUGUCUUAACAUCUGCUGAGUUCCCAGGUCCUCUUAGCAGCAGGCAGAGGCAUUCAGAGCCCAGACCCCAAAGACAUGCUGAUCUGGUUUAAACCUGACUGUGCUACUCAUCAACUGGGGGACCUAGGCAGGUUACAUUGUCUUUUUGUGCCUCAGUUUCCUCAUCUAUAGAAUAGAGGUAUUCUAGUUUCCUGUGAUUUCUGUAAUAAAUUUACAAACUUUGUAACAAAUUACCACAAAUUUGGUGGCUUCAAACGAUAGAAAUUUAUUCUCUCACAAACCUGGAGACCAAAAGUCUAAAGUCUCUAUCAUUGGACUGAAAUAAAAGUGCAGGUGGGGCCAGACACAGUGGCUCACACUUGUAAUCCCAGCACUUCGGGAGGCCAAGGCGGGCGGAUCAUGAGGUUAGGAGUUUGAGACAAGCCUGGCCAAUAUGGUGAAACCCCGUCUCUACUAAAAAUACAAAAUUAGCCAGGCGUGGUGGUGCAUGCCUGUAAUCCCAGCUACUUGGGAGGCUGAGGCAGGUGUAUCUCUUGAAACCAGGAGGCGGAGGUUGCGGUGAGCCAAAAUCAUGCCAUUGCAC